CGAGUCGAGAGGGUUCGGCCCUCGGCUGACGGCUCAGUAACACGUGGAUAAUCUGCCCUUAGGUGGAGGAUAAUCUCGGGAAACUGAGGACAAUACUCCAUAGGUUUAGGAGGCUGGAAUGCAUCUAGACUGAAAGCUCCGGCGCCUAAGGAUGAGUCUGCGGACUAUCAGGUAGUAGUCAGGGUAAAGACCUGACUAGCCUACGACGGAUACGGGUUGUGAGAGCAAUAACCCGGAGACGAUAUCUGAGACACGAUAUCGGGCCCUACGGGGCGCAGCAGGCGCGAAAACUUCACACUGUGCGAAAGCACGAUGAGGGAAUCCCGAGUGCUUGCUCGUAAGAGUAAGCUGUUUCUCUGUCUAAAACGCAGAGAGAGUAAGAGCUGGGUAAGACGGGUGCCAGCCGCCGCGGUAAUACCUGCAGCUCAAGUGGUGGCCGCUAUUAUUGGGCCUAAAACGUCCGUAGCCGGUUUAGUAAAUGCCUGGGUAAAUCGUGUAGCUUAACUAUACGAAUUCCGGGUAGACUGCUAAACUUGAGACCGGGAGAAGCCAGAGGUACUCCUAGGGUAGAGGUGAAAUUCUGUAAUCCUAGGGGGACCACCAGUGGCGAAGGCGUCUAGCUAGAACGGGUCUGACGGUGAGGGACGAAACCCUGGGGCGCAAACCGGAUUAGAUACCCGGGUAGUCCAGGGCGUAAACGCUGCUUGCUUGAUG
Molecule: ribosomal RNA, 714 nt
Filed under: uncultured archaeon
Lineage: Archaea
Description: bacterial SSU rRNA
Rfam family: Archaeal small subunit ribosomal RNA
Source: RNAcentral